This 253-nucleotide unclassified non-coding RNA is filed under the name uncultured Gammaproteobacteria bacterium. RNAcentral describes it as "contains 16S-23S intergenic spacer region". It matches the Rfam family "Bacterial small subunit ribosomal RNA", at positions 524 to 776 of the family's 1533-position model. Lineage: Bacteria; Pseudomonadati; Pseudomonadota; Gammaproteobacteria. The record is from RNAcentral.
UACAGAGGGUGCAAGCGUUAAUCGGAUUGACUGGGCGUAAAGGGCGCGUAGGCGGUUAAUUAAGUGAUAGGUGAAAGGCCCGGGCUUAACUUGGGCAUUGCCUGUCAUACUGAUUGACUAGAGUCUAAGAGAGGGGAGUAGAAUUUCCGGUGUAGCGGUGAAAUGCGUAGAGGUCGGAAAGAAUACCAGUGGCGAAGGCGGCUCUCUGGCUUAAGACUGACGCUGAGGUGCGAAGGCGUGGGGAGCAAACAGG